UACGGGGGGGGCAAGCGUUGUUCGGAAUUACUGGGCGUAAAGGGCUCGUAGGCGGCCAACUAAGUCAGACGUGAAAUCCCUCGGCUUAACCGGGGAACUGCGUCUGAUACUGGAUGGCUUGAAUCCGGGAGAGGGAUGCGGAAUUCCAGGUGUAGCGGUGAAAUGCGUAGAUAUCUGGAGGAAUACCGGUGGCGAAGGCGGCAUCCUGGACCGACAUUGACGCUGAACGGCGAAAGCUAGGGGAGCAAACGGG
RNAcentral lists this ribosomal RNA (253 nucleotides) under uncultured bacterium. RNAcentral describes it as "partial 16S ribosomal RNA". It matches the Rfam family "Bacterial small subunit ribosomal RNA", at positions 524 to 776 of the family's 1533-position model. The record is from RNAcentral.